GUCCAGGGAUAAAGACAUGCAUAUAAUCUGAAAAUAAAAACAAAGAAGAGAUCAAAUCUCAAUACCUUUGCGCAGAUAGAAAUACACUUCCGAUGAUCUUAGAUUCGAAGGUCCUUAAGCCGCACACGUGUCCGACCUCUAUAAAUAUCCAUCGGGAUCAACUUUGAAUCUUUCAUCUCAUGGUAAAUCCUUCUUCUCUAAGUAGGAUCUUUGCCUCUUUGAAUCUUGGUCAGCAAUUGAUCUUGACUGCAACUUCAACUCUUGAACUGCAGCUUCUCCUUAUUCCUUGCUGUCGAAGAGAUCCUUCUCAACUCAAGCAUGUGGAAGACGGACGCCCAACCCUUGGGUGUGGGAAAGAGAAAAGGAAGAGAGGAUGAGGCGUGGA
Molecule: long non-coding RNA, 385 nt
Filed under: Elaeis guineensis (African oil palm)
Lineage: Eukaryota; Viridiplantae; Streptophyta; Magnoliopsida; Arecales; Arecaceae
Description: long non-coding RNA (EGUI_LNC075027)
Source: RNAcentral